AAUCAAGCCGGGUAUUUGAACCGUAUUGUGCGCCCUGCAUUUGCUUAAGCACUAAAAAGGAGAAA
This is a non-coding RNA of SAR86 cluster bacterium, 65 nucleotides long. Lineage: Bacteria; Pseudomonadati; Pseudomonadota; Gammaproteobacteria. The record is from Rfam.